RNAcentral lists this transfer RNA (74 nucleotides) under Mus musculus (house mouse). RNAcentral's name for it is "tRNA-Ser". The record is from RNAcentral. Lineage: Eukaryota; Metazoa; Chordata; Mammalia; Rodentia; Muridae.
AUGAGAUGGCUCAGCGGUUAAGAGCACUGACUGCUCAUCCAGAGGUCCUGAGUUCAAUCCCCAGAAAUCACAUG